Poecile atricapillus (Black-capped chickadee) is the source of this 1378-nucleotide long non-coding RNA. RefSeq lists it as uncharacterized. NCBI's taxonomy places the organism in Eukaryota, Metazoa, Chordata, Aves, Passeriformes, Paridae. The transcript is spliced from 4 exons. The record is from RefSeq and is a predicted model, not a curated record.
AAGAACUUCUGGGAAUAGGAAAAACAAGUAAUUAUAAAAACAGAAAAGGAUUAAGGAGACUGAAGGAUUGACAGCUGGAGAGAUAUUUUCCUGCGUCAGCAUGGGCAAGGACGUUGAGCAAUUUCUCUGGAGAGGACUGAUGCUACUUACUUGUUCCCCACAAGCAACCUCCCCUGCUACCUGGUACAGCUGGCCAAGCAGCUCUGCAGUAAAACCCAUCGUGAAAUCACAGAAAUAUACUGAAGAAUUCUCUGAAAUGACCACCAAUUCUGCUGUCAAACACCAGAAACUGAUGCUUGAUUAGUAAAGCUGCAGCCUGCUCAGUUCCUGCAUUCAGCUGCUGCAUCCAGAACAAGGGAGCAAGCUGGCCCCAAAGCAGUGGCCCAUCUGCCUUGGGAUUCAUGGAGGGGAGGAAGGACAGAGUUUUUUUGAUAAAGAAACUACUCAGAAUUCUGGAAUUUAUUUUAAUAUACUCCAGCUUUUUCAUUGGUAAAGACAAGAUCCCUAUUCAAAAAAUUUCUAGCAUGGAUUUUAAACUUUAAAAAAGAGUAACAAAAAGCAAACAAUGCAGAAGGAAUAGAUGAACAAAUCUGACAAUCAUAUGGUUAAUGAAAAUUUACAGAUGUCUUUGGACUUAUUUUAUUUUGUCACAUUUGUGGAAAAUUAAAUAGAGGCAAAACAAGUUAAAUAAUUCACAAAAAACCUACAUCACUGAAAGAUCCAGAGAAAGUUGUUUCAGCUGCAGUCCAGUUCAAUAGGAAGAGACAAUUCUAUUCAAGUAGAAAGGGACCAGAUGAGUCCAAAGCUUUACGAUUCUUGAAGAUUUGGAUUAUGCAAAACUUAACUCUCCUGGCAUAGUUAUUCAUUAAGUACUAGUUUUACAUCCAAAAAGAUGAUAAAAUACCAAAGAUUCAAAAUGAGAAAACAAAUAAUAACAACAACAACAUAAGAAAACCAAAAUCAAAACCAACCAAACAAAAAAACCUCCAACCUGGGUUGGAGCUGAAGAAUUGCCUUUGGUGGAACUGGGAGCAGAAUCCAGGCAUACCAGCUCCCAGCCCUCCUAAGUAUUGGACAACCUCUUUUAGCAAAUAAAUGCAGAGAGGCACUCUUUAAACAAACCUCAUAUCCUAUGCUAUGACCCAAGAUACAUACAAUACAGUGAAAUCUUGAAUAAUUUAUCUACAGUAUGAGUUCAUUAUUCAAAGACAAGCAUACCAUGCAGUUUAAUGGGAAUUUGCUUCAUUGCUUUCAGGAUCUUUCAAAUCCAUUUGUGACACAAAUACAUGCUUACUAAAACAUUCUUAAAACUUCUGAGAGAGUCAGCAUUCUUUUAGAAAGAAAAUGCCUGAUUCCUUUCUUCACUUUCUGAAGUUCA